GUCAACCCCUCAGCGGCAAAAAUUAAAAUUUUUACCGCUUCGGCGUUAUAACCUCACACUCAAUCUUUUAUCACGAAGUCAUGAUUGAAUCGCGAGUGGUCGGCAGAUUGCGAUAAACGGUCACAUUAAAUUUAACCUGACUAUUCCACUGCAACAACUGAACGGACUGGAAACACUGGUCAUAAUCAUGGUGGCGAAUAAGUACGCGUUCUUGCAAAUCACCAGAAGGCGGUUCCUGAAUGAAUGGGAAGCCUUCAAGAAGGUGAUAAGCAGGAGAAACAUACGAAGGCGCAUAACGAUACCACUGACCCUCAGCAAUCUUAAACUUCUUAGA
RNAcentral lists this ribosomal RNA (334 nucleotides) under uncultured prokaryote. Its description in RNAcentral is "partial 16S ribosomal RNA". The record is from RNAcentral.